CUCAGAAAAGUUUUAUGUCCUCCAAACUAUAAAUGUCAGGUGGCAGUACAGGGCAGUUUAUUUUUCUGUAGAAAUAUAUAAUUUUUUUUUUUUCCAUGAAAAUAUUUUUCGUCUCUCUUCCUCUCAAAAAACUAAAACCCACCUAAAACAACCAAGCUCGGAUGGCGGAGGGUGAACGAAAAGGACCAGCAGCAGCCACGCACCCAGAGAUCUCCAUGAACACCCAGGUGAAACGUGGAAGAGUUGUUCCAGAAGAAAACAACUGCAUUGUCCACCUUAACUGAAGGCAGCUGCAGAAAUCAAAAGCAUGAAAAGCUUUUUUUGCACUUAUAAACAGUGAUGCUCAUUGUAAAGAAAAAAACCAUCCUUUUUCAGUACCUUCUCUUCUGUGUGUCGCAGACGAUGGUUAUAGAUGACAGUUAGGGAAGUUCCAUAGGAAAUUCCCCUGAAGUUGCAAAAAGUACCUCUCUGUAAUAUGGUUAUAUUUGACAGCGCAAAAAGCGUUUUUAAAACUUGCCAAAGACAGAUGAAAAAUGCAGCAAUUGUGAAAGAAACAGAUAUUCAGUGCUUCGGGGUUGAGGGCCCACGUGCACCUUUGAAAAGAACUAACGUUAGGCAUCCCAUUUUUUAGUACUGCUAAUGCAACUUUGGUCCAGACGAAUGGAUCUGCACUGAAUUUUCUGCAGUCUCGCACACAGCUGGAGACAGUGGAAUAUUUUCUGCUACUCUUUGUAAAUACCCCAUAAAACGCACAGUAAGGAGCUACUUCAGCCUGGCAUCAAGGCAGGCGGUCAAUGUCACCUCCCUGCAGCAAAGCCUAGGAGCACCACUUUGAAGCAAAGCACGGGCCCUGGGCUCUGUUGAGUAGGGGCCCAAAAAUCUGACAGACACACCCCGAAGUCAGGAAUAAUAGGAUUCCACCCCUAUUUUAUAUGCUCAACUGCAGGCUUCCAGCUCAGAGCCAGUCAUCAGGACUCUCUGCACAGCAAGCGGACAGAGAGAAGUACAGCAAGAGUGUGACUCACCCUGCUAGGUUGGGUGUCGGAAAGAGGUCACACCAGCCAUGGGCUGUAACUGUGUGUUUCUCCAUCGUUCAGUUACAGCAUUUACAGCAAGUGACUGGAUGACACAUAGACUUCUACUUCCCUGGCACCUAAAACAAUAUGAGACGCAUCCCAUUCAGAACAAAACAAAGUCUAUAGAGAAACUUUGGGACACAGGAGAGGAAGAGAAACAAGUCUACAGAUCUUUUUUUUUUUCCUCUUUUUUAAUUCCUGCAUGAUCCUGCUGCAUCAGUUAUCAGGCACACCGUGUGGCACUCAACUGUCCUUUCGAAACGAGGCAGAAAAUUGUUUUCACCACACCAGAAAAUAUCAGUUAUAUAUCAACCAUUUUUGGGAUGUCCAAGGAAAAACUCUCAAUUCCCCCAAGGUGGAGCAGGAAAAGAUACAGAAGAGAGGAGAAAUCAGUAGUUGCAUGACAGCCUCUUAAAAUACGGUGAAUUUCCACUGAUUUCAAAAAAUUUGACCCCAGUUUGAUUCUAGGAUAACAUUUGACUUGAAAGGAGAGGAAGCCAUUCCUCCUCUUCACAUCCUGACUUCUGUUUACACAGACUUAUUGUGCAACUCAUCCUUGCUGCUGAUCCUCUUAUGCUCUGAAUCAUGACAUUUGCUUGGACUGUUAUGAUAAAAACUCAUUCAAUUCUGGCAGAUAAAGUCUCUGUUUUCCAUGCAUGCCGGCAGACAACACAGUAAUAAGAACACAGAUCCAAGAGCAAAACUUUCAGAAGUUCUUCAGGGCACGCAUUGAAAAGGUGGAAAAGUGUGUCAGAAGUGAAAAGGGGCCACCAAAUGGGUGUAAAUAGAAUUCUGCUGCAAGGCUAUUUUUCACUGCCAAGAAGGUGUAACAAGGCCUCAGAGUUAAUGAGAAUCAAGCCUUAAGGCAAAGAAGACAGAUGUUGGCUCACAGCCCAAAGAUAAAUUAAUGUCAGAUAGCAGAAUAGACAAUGCAACAACGUAACUCAACUGAUUUUAAUACAAAUAGAUAGUGACGUCAAAGGCAGGAGCCCUUUACACAGCAUGGACAAGGUGGGAGCAAGGAACCAACCUACAGGAAUGGUGGCAUCUGCUACAAUCUCCUGCCAGGUCAGCCUGGGUAAACAACCAACCACUCAAGUCAAAAGCUUCAUCAUAGCGAGCUCCUGAUACUUCUCUCUGGAUGCAAACAGCACCUCAUAUUUCAGCUCAUUGGAAAAGUUUGUAGAUGACUUAUCUGUGCUUUUGCUCAACUCUCUACGAGUGAUCCUCCUGCAUAAACUCAUUCUGAGCAGAAAUCAAUAGCUCUUCAGGUGAACUGGACGUACCUCUCAAUUCUGGAAAGAUGGGUUUAUCAGGAUCUUUCAAAAUCAUACGCAAUCCAUCCUGGUCAUUUGUACACAGUCAUAUGCAAGAGGUUCGCAUUUUCACUCUUGUUAAGAAAGUGACAGCUCAAACAGGUAACCAACAAGAGCUAAUGACAGAGAAGAUAGAAAUUCAUCACCUCUCCCACCUUGGGUUUUCUAAGAACUUUCUCUAUGCAGAACAUCAGCACGAGACCUCUCCUCGCAAUGCUUCUGCUUUAAUUGCAAGUCUCAGCAUCUGCCUGGCAAGCAACUAUUUUUUUUCCAGGGGUUCAUAACUCCAGUUUAACAGAUUGCUUUAGGCUGACACAUGGUUUCAACUUGGGAGCAAGCAUUUCUUUUAUAAACGGCUUUUUCUUUUCUUUUAAAUGGUGAUUUCUUUUUGUGUUUGCUUGUAAUGUAUGUAAAAUGAUUUGGGAUGCUUUUUGCACUUGUGUACAGUAACUCAAAAGCAGCUUUCAUUGGAACAGUGGAAUUUGGCAAGUGAACAGUCAAUAUUGCCCUCUAAUUGCUUUUAGCGUCUUUGCAAAAAUAAAAACGUCAUUUAAAAUGGCUGAAAUAUUUCAAUUUGAAAAGUGGCUACUGAACAGGCACAAUAAUGGCAUGGAUUUUUACCCUGAGUAUGUAAUGCACGUAUUCAGAAUAAUGUGAUCCCUAAAAUAUAUAUCCCCAGAUUAGGGCAGGACUAAUCAUUGAUUUUUUUUUUUAUUUUUUUCAGUUCAGUGGAUGAAAUGGAAAAAUAAAAUCUGCUUGGGUUGAUUCAAAAUACUCCUCUUUCCUUCUCUUCCUCCAUCAAAAUCCAAAACAUUUUCCAGCGAUGGUAACAGA
Long non-coding RNA from Gallus gallus (chicken), 3226 nucleotides. NCBI's taxonomy places the organism in Eukaryota, Metazoa, Chordata, Aves, Galliformes, Phasianidae. The record is from Ensembl.